AUCUUUAUUCAUCAGUACUUGCCAUUAUAAUGAGGGUCCAAACAGCUGAUUAAAAGAUCACAAUAUUUUGAAAUUUGAAGUUAAAACAUCUUAAUGCUGGAUGUGUUUCAUCUUUUGUCUUCUCCAGAUGAAAGUGAAAGUGAAAGUGAAAGUGACGUGACAUUCAGCCAAGUAUGGUGACCCAUACUCAGAAUUCGUGCUCUGCAUUUAACCCAUCCGAAGUGCACACACACAGAGCAGUGAACACACACACACACUGUGAACACACACCCGGAGCAGUGGGCAGCCAUUUUAUGCUGCGGCGCCCGGGGAGCAGUUGGGGGUUCGAUGCCUUGCUCAAGGGCACCUAAGUCAUGGUAUUGAAGGUGGAGAGAGAACUGUACAUGCACUCCCCCCACCCACAAUUCCUGCCGGCCCGAGACUCGAACUCACAACCCUUCGAUUGGGAGUCCGACUCUCUAACCAUUAGGCCACGACUUCCCACAAAACAGUCCAAACAGGAUUGUUUGGACAGAUGUUCACUGAUGGACUGGAGUGGUGUGGAUUACUUGUGGAUUAUUGUGAUGUUUUUAUCAGCUGUUUGGACUCUCAUUCUGACGGCACCCAUUCACUGCAGAGCAUCCAUUGGAUCCUGUUUGGACUGUUUUAAGUUGCAGUGUCGGAGGCGUCCAGAUCCCAAAGUGGCCGUGUGAUUGGUCAGGCUUGUGCCAGCUGUGCACGGAUGGAUAGUUGUGCUGGAAAUGGUGCCAGCGUUUGGCUGCCAGAGCUGAUGAUGGACAUGGAGUAGCAGCUGCCCGACUGCCCCUCCGAGCAGAACCACAGUCAUUUUUUACAGAGACCUGUCUCUCUGUCUGUCUUUCUGUCUGUCUGUCUGUCUGUCUGUCUGUCUUUCUGUCUGUCUGUCUGUCUGUCUGUCUGUCUGUCUGUCUGUCUGUCUGUCUGUCUCUCUCUCUGUCUGUCUGUCUCUCUCUCUGUCUGUCUCUCUGUCUGUCUGUUUCUAUGUCUGUCUCUCUCUCUCUGUCUCUCUCUCUCUCUCGUCUGUCUGUCUGUCUGUCUGUUUCUAUGUCUGUCUCUCUCUCUCUCUGUCUGUCUGUGUGUGUGUGUGUGUGUGUGUGUGUGUGUGUGUGUGUGUGUGUGUGUGUGUGUGUGUGUGUGUGUGUGUGUGUGUGUGUGUGUGUCUGUCUGUCUGUCUGUCUUUCAGCAGGCUGAUGUGAAAACGCCUAAUAAACCAGUAACCUCAAUCAACAGCUCUAUUUCUAGAGAUACAUUCUUGUUUCAUGUUGUGAUAGAAAACAGACAAGGCUUUUCUUCGAUGGAAAAAAAAAUAAAUGAUGAAGAAAUGGACAGCCAUUAGGAUUGCUUUUUAUCAGCAGUUUUUUACAUUACACUCAAUGUUGGUUUUUAUAUGUGUACUAAUACUGUACUAAUGUCAUUGCUGCCACUCAAACUUUGUCAGUUGUCAAUGUGUGCAGUGCAAUUUUAAUAUUUUGAUGAAAAUAUCCUUUGAAUUUAGUCAAUACUUUCAACACUGAUAAUAAUAAUAAUAAUAAUAAUAAUAAUAAUAAUAAUAAUAGAAGCAUAGUAGAAUGAUUUCUGAAGGAUCAUGUGAUACUGAAGAAAAUUCAGCUUUGAUCACAGAAAUAAAUUACAGUUUAACAGAUAUUCACAUAGAAAAGUGCUGUGUUAAAAUAUGAAAAUAUCUCACUUUCAAAUUAUAUAAAAAAAAAAAAAUAAAAUAAAAUAAAAAAAAAUCUCACCAACUUUCAACUCAUGUCAGAAAGAUUGUAUUUAUGAGUUGAAUGCACAUGAACGUCACCACAAAGUUGUCACUAGGAGUAGGAAACUCUGUUUCUGGCAGUGUGUCAGUGAGAAAACAUGUCAGUGUCAUAGUCAUCUACUGGAGUCCCCUAAGAGUCAUCAGAGGGCAAUAUUUUGGACGUUGUGUUUUGUUUUAACUGGACUUAAUUUCCCAUGGUUCCCCUCACUCUGCUCCCAUCAUCCCCUGCAUCCUCAUUGUUUAACUGGUUUCAGCUGUGUCUUGUUAGUUUGAAUAUCCUGCUGGUGUAUGUUGGAUGAGACCCGGAAGAGAAGACAAUCCUGAAUAAAGUCAUAAUUUUUGUUAUUUUUGGACCAAAAUGUAUUUUUGAUGCUUCAACAAAUUCUAACGGACCCUCUGAUGUCACAUGGACUACUUUGAUGAUGUUUUUAUUACCUUUCUGGACGUGGACAGUAUACCGUACAUACAUUCUCAAUGGAGGGACAGAAAGCUCUCGGACUAAAUCUAAAAUAUCUUAAACUGUGUUCUGAAGAUGAACGGAGGUCUCACGGGUUUGGAACGACAUGAGGGUGAGUCAUUAAUGACAUCAUUUUAAUAUUUGGGUGAACUAACCCUUUAAUGCACCACUGCAUUUAAUACCAAAAGCUAUUGAUAAAUGUAAGUCCAAUUUAAAAUAGUCUGUUUUGCCCCGUAUUAGUGUCUGAUUUGUAUUUGUAUGUUUACACUAUUGCAUUUUUUACAAGUGAGGAGUGAUAUUUCAAUGGUGCACAGGAUUGCUGACUGUGUAGUAGCUCGCUUGGUUUGCUUCACAGGUUCACCACGUCCUCCAUAAAUGCACACUGACAUAAACUCAUCUCAGUCACUAAUGGUUUAAGCGCUCUGGUUGCUGAGAGACAGGCGUGUCAUUCACAUGUUUACCUCUGAGACCAAACAGACGUGGGAAUUAUGCAAAUGAGGAUGAGCCAAUCAGAUCCCGGCCUGGCGGCCUCGCUCUCGCUCCAGAUAAACUUCUGACUUACUGCCGUCGUCACACCGCAGAGCCUCUGUGCUCAAGCACCUGCAGGAUUUCACCAGACAGAUGUCAGAAUGAUAAAACACACUGAAAACAUGACGGGCCAGUGUUUUCACUGCAAACAAUCUGUUGUAUUUGUUUUUCUGUGAUUUGCAACAAAGUUUGUUUAGGAUGUUAGUACAAUGCUCACUUGCUGCUUUAAACUUUUCUCUUCUGCUGCAAAAAAAAAAAACAACAAUGAUAUCAGUGCUGUUUAUUCCACAGACAGAAAAACAAAUAGCUGAUUCACUUAUUUUCUUCAUAAACAUAUACUGUCUUCCCUUUCCGUACAAUAAAUAAUCCUUCAAAUUCACUUCCUGUUUAAGUCCUAAAAAUCACCAGAGCUACUCAAACUGGUACAAAACAGCAACUAACCACUGGUAUACUCUUAUUUAGUGUGGAAAAUCACACUAUUUGCGUAAAUUUGUUGAAAUCUAGCUAAGCUGCAUUUACUAAAGGCAAUAGCACUGUACAAUUACAAAUGAAAAUAUAAUGAUUUAAUUUACAGCAC
Long non-coding RNA from Cyprinus carpio carpio, 3339 nucleotides. NCBI's taxonomy places the organism in Eukaryota, Metazoa, Chordata, Actinopteri, Cypriniformes, Cyprinidae. The record is from Ensembl.